CCUACGGGAGACAGCAGUGAGGAAUAUUGGUCAAUGGCCGAGAGGCUGAACCAGCCAAGUCGCGUGAGGGAUGACGGCCCUACGGGUUGUAAACCUCUUUUGCCGGGGAGCAAAGAGCGGGACGCGUCCCGCCUCGAGAGUACCCGGAGAAUAAGCAUCGGCUAACUCCGUGCCAGCAGCCGCGGUAAUACGGAGGAUGCGAGCGUUAUCCGGAUUUAUUGGGUUUAAAGGGUGCGCAGUGGGAAGUGAAAGUCAGCGGUAAAAUUGAGGGGUCAAACCUCUUCCCGCCGUUGAAACUGGGUGUCUUGAGUAGGCUAGAAGUACGCGGAAUGCGUGGUGUAGCGGUGAAAUGCAUAGAUAUCACGAAGAACUCCGAUUGCGAAGGCAGCGUACCGGCGCGCAACUGACGCUCAUGCACGAAAGCGUGGGUAUCGAACAGGAUUAGAUACCCGUGUAGUC
Molecule: ribosomal RNA, 459 nt
Filed under: uncultured bacterium
Lineage: Bacteria
Description: partial 16S ribosomal RNA
Rfam family: Bacterial small subunit ribosomal RNA
Source: RNAcentral